GGAGAGAUGACCGAGCGGCCGAAGGUGCACGAUUGGAAGUCGUGAGUACCCCUAAAGGGUACCGAGGGUUCAAAUCCCUCUCUCUCCG
This 88-nucleotide transfer RNA is filed under the name Spirochaetaceae bacterium. Its description in RNAcentral is "tRNA-Ser". It matches the Rfam family "tRNA". From Rfam's summary of the family: Transfer RNA (tRNA) molecules are approximately 80 nucleotides in length. RNAcentral also lists the same sequence under 4 other names. The record is from RNAcentral. Lineage: Bacteria; Pseudomonadati; Spirochaetota; Spirochaetia; Spirochaetales; Spirochaetaceae.